RNAcentral lists this long non-coding RNA (1337 nucleotides) under Numida meleagris (helmeted guineafowl). RNAcentral describes it as "lncRNA (ENSNMEG00000012720.1)". The record is from RNAcentral. Lineage: Eukaryota; Metazoa; Chordata; Aves; Galliformes; Numididae.
CACUGAGCUGAGGGAACCGGGAGACCCAGAGCCCUGCAAGGGCCAUCCUUCCCCUCCCCAGUGCAGCACUGGGAAAGGUGCCCUGAUCUUGGGAUGAGCUCAGCACCCACGCGUCCCCUGGGAUCAGAAGGCAGGGAGUGAGCGCAGGAGGGAGAGGACUGCCUCGGAUCCAUCACAGUGUGGUGGGCAAGGUGUGCCCAAGUUCACCAAACUGACAGGAAGCCAGGUUCUGGGACCAAUUUCUUACCCCAUUCUCUUGACCAAGUUUUCUGAGGACUCAACAGAAUCAUCUGCUCCAGAAGAAGAGCAUCAGGUAGAGCAUGCUCCAAGUGAGUGAAAGCAUGUGUUGUGUUCCACUGCUUUGGUGUACUCUAAAGAGGAGUGCCAAUCCAUUCCAGUGGGCUUCAAUCACUCCCUGAGAACACCAGGACCUCUGCACUGUCAGUGAAGGGAGAGACGUGCCUAUGUUUGGUGGAUGAAAAUACCCUCUGGAGCAUUUGAAAGCACCUCUCUCUUUUCACUGACCACAGAGCUCCCUUUAUAAGAAAUAUAUGGCAUUAUAUUCGGUGGACUGGAUCCCUCUCGCCCUCCUUUAUUCCUCCUUUCUCUUUGUCCCUUCCCUCCCUCUGUUUUUACUUCCUCCCUAGGCCAGGUGCCAAAAAUGCUAGUGCAGCAGUAUCUCAGCUAUCAGCUUAAAUUGUCAAAUUGGCUUCCACCUCUUUCAUUUCAGAGAGCACUGUAAUUGAAACUCCUCUUAUUUUAGGUGGCUGUAGUAUUUUAAACUCAGAAUUAUGUAAAGAAAUGGAGAUAACGCUGAGCCGCUUAGCUGCAAAGGGGUGGCUACAGACCAAGCAAGGAAAUGUUUGCAUAAAUCCUAUGUAGGCAGAUUCUCACCUAGAAAAAGCCUGUAUAUCUGCCAAAAUAUUCAGAAUCUCUCUGGCAUCCACCACAAGACAAUUGUCAGGCUUGAUUGGUCCAGCAGGGAAGGCUUUUGCUUUCAUUUCUGCGCAUUUGGUGCCAGCAUAUUUCCCUGACAAGUGAUGCGAGAGGUGACUGGAAGAGUUCAUUGACUGUGGAGAUGCCUGCGCAGGGAAUUGCUUUCCUUCUUCUGCGGAGGUGAGUAGAAGCCUGCAGACACACAGAGGAGAAUGGGUUGACAUUGCACUCAGUUUUUAACAGUGCCCAGGUUGCAUGGGCUGGUGCUCUCAAGCAUUGCAGGUGGAAUGAUGAGUGAGCCCAGAUAAGAAUCCCAGAGGGGCAAGCUUGGCUGAAAAAUGCCUUAUAACACAAUUCUUUAUUAGUAAGGAUAAAAAAUAAUGGACAAAGGAGUCCCAAAA